Hyla sarda is the source of this 609-nucleotide long non-coding RNA. RefSeq lists it as uncharacterized. NCBI's taxonomy places the organism in Eukaryota, Metazoa, Chordata, Amphibia, Anura, Hylidae. The transcript is spliced from 3 exons. The record is from RefSeq and is a predicted model, not a curated record.
GGAGAGAGGCUACAGCCAGAUCCAGGUCCAGGCAGAGAAGCAGGUCAUUGCUAAAGAGGUCCAAAAUUAGCUCAAGAGGAAAUGUUAUAAACAUUUCAGGUAUCUGACCAUUGUGAAAAGAUGGUCAGACCUGAAGAGACGCAACACUGAUCGGAUCAAAAGGAUCCGGAACCAACAUUUCCUAGAGGCUCAACUUCCACUUGCUGUAUGGCGGCAGAGGAGAGCAGCCAACGAGAUGGAGGUGGUGGUAAUGUCGGGAGAGGAGGAGGAUGAUGAUGGAGAAGGAGACCCUCCCAUCAGGAACCUGCUCCAGCAACACCACCUGAUUUCUCUUGAAAUUGCAAAAUAAACUUGAGGAGCUGCUGCGGAAGAAUGAGAAGGGGAUGGCCUCUAUAGAGAGCCAGCAGCGGAAAAUAGCACAGCAGCAGGAGAGGCUACAUCAGCAGCAGGAGAGGCUACACCAGCAGCAGCUGCGUCAGCAGAAUAAUGUAGAGACGCUCAAGGAGAAGCAGGAGAAAGCCAUGCAAGAGCUGAAUGCAAUACACAAUAAGCUGAAACGCUGCCUUAAAGCAUGUUUAUAUUGUGUAUCAUGUUAUUUUUGUUUUUCUA